RNAcentral lists this ribosomal RNA (253 nucleotides) under uncultured bacterium. RNAcentral describes it as "partial 16S ribosomal RNA". It matches the Rfam family "Bacterial small subunit ribosomal RNA", at positions 524 to 776 of the family's 1533-position model. The record is from RNAcentral.
GACGAACCGUGCAAACGUUGUUCGGAAUCACUGGGCUUAAAGGGCGCGUAGGCGGUCGGCCAAGUCCGGGGUGAAAUCUUUCGGCUUAACCGGAAAAGUGCCUUGGAUACUGGCCGGCUGGAGGGAGGUAGGGGCAGGUGGAACUUCCAGUGGAGCGGUGAAAUGCGUUGAUAUUGGAAGGAACGCCGGUGGCGAAAGCGACCUGCUGGACCUCUUCUGACGCUGAGGCGCGAAAGCUAGGGGAGCAAACGGG